GAUGAACGCUGACAGAAUGCUUAACACAUGCAAGUCUACUUGAACUUCGGUUUGGGUGGCGGACGGGUGAGUAACGCGUAAAGAACUUGCCUCACAGUUAGGGACAACAUUUGGAAACGAAUGCUAAUACCUGAUAUUAUGAUUUUAGGGCAUCCUAAGAUUAUGAAAGCUAUAUGCGCUGUGAGAGAGCUUUGCGUCCCAUUAGCUAGUUGGAGAGGUAACGGCUCACCAAGGCGAUGAUGGGUAGCCGGCCUGAGAGGGUGAACGGCCACAAGGGGACUGAGACACGGCCCUUACUCCUACGGGAGGCAGCAGUGGGGAAUAUUGGACAAUGGACCAAAAGUCUGAUCCAGCAAUUCUGUGUGCACGAUGACGUUUUUCGGAAUGUAAAGUGCUUUCAGUUGGGAAGAAAAAAUGACGGUACCAACAGAAGAAGUGACGGCUAAAUACGUGCCAGCAGCCGCGGUAAUACGUAUGUCACAAGCGUUAUCCGGAUUUAUUGGGCGUAAAGCGCGUCUAGGUGGUUAUGUAAGUCUGAUGUGAAAAUGCAGGGCUCAACUCUGUAUUGCGUUGGGAACUGCAUGACUAGAGUACUGGAGAGGUAAGCGGAACUACNAGUGUAGAGGUGAAAUUCGUAGAUAUUUGUANGAAUGNCGAUGGGGAAGCCANCUUACUGGACAGAUACUGACGCUAAAGCGCGAAAGCNNNNNUAGCANACAGG
This 721-nucleotide ribosomal RNA is filed under the name uncultured Fusobacterium sp. Its description in RNAcentral is "bacterial SSU rRNA". It matches the Rfam family "Bacterial small subunit ribosomal RNA", at positions 28 to 776 of the family's 1533-position model. The record is from RNAcentral. Lineage: Bacteria; Fusobacteriati; Fusobacteriota; Fusobacteriia; Fusobacteriales; Fusobacteriaceae.